RNAcentral lists this ribosomal RNA (441 nucleotides) under uncultured bacterium. Its description in RNAcentral is "partial 16S ribosomal RNA". It matches the Rfam family "Bacterial small subunit ribosomal RNA", at positions 338 to 795 of the family's 1533-position model. The record is from RNAcentral.
CCUACGGGAGGCAGCAGUCGGGAAUAUUGCGCAAUGGAGGAAACUCUGACGCAGUGACGCCGCGUAUAGGAAGACGGUUUUCUGAUUUUAAACUAUUUUCUUUAGGGAAGAUAAAAGACUGUACCUAAGUAGGUAGCCCCUGCGAAAUAUGUGCCAGCAGACUCGGUAAUACCGAGGGGGCACGCGUUAGCCGGAAUUAUUGGGUGUAAAGGGUUCGUAGGCGGUAGAACAAGUUGGUUGUGAAAUCCUGCGGCUCAACUGAGGUAGUGCAACCAAAACUAUUCUCCUUGAGUGUCGGUUAGGAAAGUGGAAUUCGUAGUGUAGCGGUGAAAUGCGUAGAUAUUAGGAGGAACACCAGUGGCGAAGGCGACUUUCUGGACGAUAACUGACGUUGAGGCACGAAAGUGUGGGGAGCAAACAGGAUUAGAUACCCUGGUAGUC